Molecule: small nuclear RNA, 88 nt
Organism: Heterocephalus glaber (naked mole-rat)
Lineage: Eukaryota; Metazoa; Chordata; Mammalia; Rodentia; Bathyergidae
Gene: U2
Rfam family: U2 spliceosomal RNA
About the family: U2 is a small nuclear RNA (snRNA) component of the spliceosome (involved in pre-mRNA splicing). Complementary binding between U2 snRNA (in an area lying towards the 5' end but 3' to hairpin I) and the branchpoint sequence (BPS) of the intron results the bulging out of an unpaired adenosine, on the BPS, which initiates a nucleophilic attack at the intronic 5' splice site, thus starting the first of two transesterification reactions that mediate splicing.
Source: Ensembl
AUCGCUUCUUGGCCUUUUGGCUAAGAUCAAGUGUAAUAUCUAUGCACCAAACAUUAGUGCACCCAAUUAUAUAAAACAAAUACUAACA